This 253-nucleotide ribosomal RNA is filed under the name uncultured bacterium. RNAcentral describes it as "partial 16S ribosomal RNA". It matches the Rfam family "Bacterial small subunit ribosomal RNA", at positions 524 to 776 of the family's 1533-position model. The record is from RNAcentral.
GACAGAGGGGGCAAGCGUUGCUCGGAUUUAUUGGGCGUAAAGAGCGUGUAGGCGGCCAGGUAGGUCUGCUGUGAAAACUCGAGGCUUAACCUCGAGAUGUCGGCGGAAACCAUCUGGCUAGAGUCCGGAAGAGGAGAGUGGAAUUCCUGGUGUAGCGGUGAAAUGCGCAGAUAUCAGGAAGAACACCCGUGGCGGAGGCGGCUCUCUGGGACGGUACUGACGCUGAGACGCGAAAGCGUGGGGAGCGAACAGG